GGAAUAUUGCGCAAUGGCCGAAAGGCUGACGCAGCGACGCCGCGUGUGGGAGGAAGCUCUUCGGGGUGUAAACCACUGUCAGGAGGGAAGAAACCCGGUCGGGCGAAUAGACCGGCCGGUUGCCGGUACCUCCAAAGGAAGCGCCGGCGAACUCCGUGCCAGCAGCCGCGGUAAGACGGAGGGCGCAAGCGUUGUUCGGAAUUCCUGGGCGUAAAGCGCGGGCAGGCGGUCUGUUAAGUCUGCGGUGAAAUCCCGGGGCUCAACUCCGGAUAUGCCGCGGAUACUGGCGGACUGGAGACUGGUAGAGGCGAGUGGAAUUCCUGGUGUAGAGGUGGAAUGCGUAGAUAUCAGGAAGAACACCGGUGGCGAAGGCGGCUCGCUGGGCCAGUUCUGACGCUCAUCCGCGAAAGCGUGGGGAGCAAAC
RNAcentral lists this ribosomal RNA (424 nucleotides) under uncultured bacterium. Its description in RNAcentral is "bacterial SSU rRNA". It matches the Rfam family "Bacterial small subunit ribosomal RNA", at positions 358 to 773 of the family's 1533-position model. The record is from RNAcentral.